RNAcentral lists this ribosomal RNA (252 nucleotides) under uncultured bacterium. RNAcentral describes it as "partial 16S ribosomal RNA". It matches the Rfam family "Bacterial small subunit ribosomal RNA", at positions 524 to 776 of the family's 1533-position model. The record is from RNAcentral.
UACGGAGGAUGCGAGCGUUAUCCGGAUUUAUUGGGUUUAAAGGGUGCGUAGGCGGACGCUUAAGUCAGCGGUAAAAUUGCGGGGCUCAACCUCGUCGAGCCGUUGAGACUGGGUGCCUUGAGUGGGCGAGAAGUACGCGGAAUGCGUGGUGUAGCGGUGAAAUGCAUAGAUAUCACGCAGAACCCCGAUUGCGAAGGCAGCCUUCCGGCGCCCUACUGACGCUGAGGCACGAAAGUGCGGGGAUCGAACAGG